CCAGGGUAUAAUGAAAUUUGAAGUUAGAACUCUUUUGAUCAUUAUUAUUUCUCUGACUGAAUGAAAAAUAUUGAGGUUAUCUAUUGAUAUUGACGAUUGUUCUACAAAAGAUGGAUUGGAGUUAUUUAUAAUUUAAUUUGAUAAUGAAUCGAUUAAUUAAGAGUUGUUAAUGUUUAGAUAAAAAAAAUUGAUAUACUUACUUAGAAUAGAGACAUUGAUUUUGAUUAUAAGAAAAAUAUAAUUUUGAUUUAGAUCAAUUUUUGAGUUAUUGA
Molecule: long non-coding RNA, 272 nt
Filed under: Elaeis guineensis (African oil palm)
Lineage: Eukaryota; Viridiplantae; Streptophyta; Magnoliopsida; Arecales; Arecaceae
Description: long non-coding RNA (EGUI_LNC009248)
Source: RNAcentral